This 400-nucleotide unclassified non-coding RNA is filed under the name soil metagenome. RNAcentral describes it as "partial contains 5.8S ribosomal RNA, internal transcribed spacer 2, and large subunit ribosomal RNA". The stretch from base 1 to 122 matches the Rfam family "5.8S ribosomal RNA", at positions 35 to 154 of the family's 154-position model. The record is from RNAcentral.
GAUGAAGAACGUAGCGAAAUGCGAUACUUGGUGUGAAUUGCAGAAUCCCGUGAACCAUCGAGUCUUUGAACGCAAGUUGCGCCUCAAGCCAUUAGGUUGAGGGCACGUCUGCCUGGGCGUCACAUAUCGUUGCCUGAUGCCAGUUUCCUCGUGAUGGGUGACUGUGCAGGGCGAAUGAUGGCUUCCCGUGAGCAUUGUUGCCUCAUGGUUGGUUGAAAAUUGAGUCCUUGGUAGGGAGCGCCGUGAUAGAUGGUGGUUGAGUGACGAACGAGACCCAAUCAUGUGAGACCCCUACCGAAUUUGGCCUUCAUGACCCACAUGCGUCUUUGGAACUCUCAUGACGAGACCUCAGGUCAGGCGGGGCUACCCGCUGAGUUUAAGCAUAUCAAUAAGCGGAGGA